GCCGGGGAAAAGUUGCGCGUGGUAGUGCAGAGGAACGUCGGCGGGUGAAUUCAGAUAGAGCCCUUGGAAAGAUGAUUCCCAAAAGUAUUAUUUUCGGAUAUAAAGACUACGCUGUAUCAACAAAAAACGGAUUGCAACUUGCAAAACAUGCGGGAAGAAAAUUACAGACGGAUGCGCAACAACUUCCAACUUUGUUCGAUAUUUGAAGCUGCACAAAGAACAAUUAUGGAACCGGGUAUUGGACUGAAAUAGAAGUGUCGGUCGUCGGUUACCACAGACAGACGUGAAAAAGCAAAGGAGGCAUUGCCAUAGACAGCUUUGCCCAGUCGGCUAAAAGAGCUCUCUGCUGAAAAGAGGUGGAGAUUUGAGGGGCCAACUGAAGUCAUGAUGUCUGAUGUGGAGUCGGACCCAGAAGAUAUUGAUGCA
RNAcentral lists this long non-coding RNA (426 nucleotides) under Salmo salar (Atlantic salmon). RNAcentral describes it as "lncRNA (ENSSSAG00000120286.1)". The record is from RNAcentral. Lineage: Eukaryota; Metazoa; Chordata; Actinopteri; Salmoniformes; Salmonidae.